This 502-nucleotide ribosomal RNA is filed under the name uncultured bacterium. RNAcentral's name for it is "bacterial SSU rRNA". It matches the Rfam family "Bacterial small subunit ribosomal RNA", at positions 29 to 507 of the family's 1533-position model. The record is from RNAcentral.
AAUGAACGCUGGCGGCGUGCCUAACACAUGCAAGUCGAGCGAGAACGUCGACUUCGGUCGAUUAGUAGAGCGGCGAACGGGUGAGUAACACGUGGGUAACCUGCCUUGGAGUGGGGGAUAACCUGGGGAAACUCGGGCUAAUACCGCAUACGUUCUCAGCAUUGCGAUGCUGAGAGGAAAGCUGGCCAAUUCUUGAAAGCUGGCGCUCCUGGAUGGGCCCGCGCCCGAUUAGCUUGUUGGUGGGGUAACGGCCCACCAAGGCUGCGAUCGGUAGCCGACCUGAGAGGGUGAACGGCCACACUGGGACUGAGACACGGCCCAGACUCCUACGGGAGGCAGCAGUGGGGAAUAUUGGACAAUGGGCGAAAGCCUGAUCCAGCAACGCCGCGUGGAGGACGAAGGCCUUCGGGUCGUAAACUCCUGUCAGCUGGGACGAAAAGUCGUCGGUAAAUAGCCGGCGAUCAUGACAGUACCAGCAGAGGAAGCCCCGGCUAACUCCGUG